RNAcentral lists this ribosomal RNA (454 nucleotides) under Rhipicephalus sanguineus (brown dog tick). RNAcentral's name for it is "partial large subunit ribosomal RNA". The stretch from base 308 to 454 matches the Rfam family "Archaeal large subunit ribosomal RNA", at positions 2542 to 2689 of the family's 2987-position model. The record is from RNAcentral. Lineage: Eukaryota; Metazoa; Arthropoda; Arachnida; Ixodida; Ixodidae.
UGCUCAAUGAUUUUUUAAAUUGCUGUAGUAUUUUGACUAUACAAAGGUAUUGAAAUAAGAUUUUAAUUGAAUGCUAAGAGAAUGGAAUUUCAGAAAAAAACUUUUUUCAAGUUAAAAAUUGAAAUUUUUUUAAUUUGUGCAGAAACAAUUAUUAAUAUUAAGGACAAGAAGACCCUAUGAAUUUAUAAAUUUUAUUUAAUAUGUAACUACUAUUAAAAAAAUUUUAGCUGGGGCGGCGGAAAAAUAUUUAAAACUUUUUUAAAAUAAAAUGACCCAUUAUUAAUGAUUAUAUGUUAAAUACUCUAGGGAUAACAGCGUUAUAUUUUUUGAUAGAUCAUAUUGACAAAAAAGUUUGCGACCUCGAUGUUGGAUUAGGAUACUUUUUUAAUGCAGAUAUUAAAAAAAGAAGUUUGUUCAACUUUUAAUUUCCUACUUGAUCUGAGUUCAGACCGGA